GAUUUAAAAAUUUAAAUUAAAUAUAAUUAAUUGAAAUUUUUUUUUGAAUUUUAAUUUAAUUUAUUGAUA
RNAcentral lists this transfer RNA (69 nucleotides) under Potamyia flava. RNAcentral's name for it is "tRNA-Phe". The record is from RNAcentral. Lineage: Eukaryota; Metazoa; Arthropoda; Insecta; Trichoptera; Hydropsychidae.